CUGGUUACGUGAUUUGUGUCAGUAGCCCACCCUUUUACCCCAUCCAUAGGCUUCAUGCUUUACUGGACACUGCUGUUAGGGGUUAUGGGUUUACUUGAAAGAUGAAAGCGUGAGAUUAGCAUGGGGUAUGUGUUUCCUUCCAGCACCAUCUCCAUCAGAUACAUGACGCUGAGGAGGUAGGACUGUUUUAGUGUUUUUGGUCGAUAAGAUUUUGUAAUUAGGCCCAUCAUAAUUGUCAGCACCAGGCCCACUGGGCUCUUAAUCUGGCCCUGAGU
Non-coding RNA from Pelobates cultripes (western spadefoot toad), 275 nucleotides. The record is from the annotation of a GenBank genome assembly. NCBI's taxonomy places the organism in Eukaryota, Metazoa, Chordata, Amphibia, Anura, Pelobatidae.